UACGUAGGGUGCGAGCGUUGUCCGGAAUUAUUGGGCGUAAAGAGCUCGUAGGCGGUUUGUCGCGUCGGCUGUGAAAACCUGGGGCUCAACCCCGGGCCUGCAGCCGAUACGGGCAAACUAGAAUUCGGUAGGGGAGACUGGAAUUCCUGGUGUAGCGGUGAAAUGCGCAGAUAUCAGGAGGAACACCGGUGGCGAAGGCGGGUCUCUGGGCCGAUAUUGACGCUGAGGAGCGAAAGCGUGGGGAGCGAACAGG
Molecule: ribosomal RNA, 253 nt
Filed under: uncultured bacterium
Lineage: Bacteria
Description: partial 16S ribosomal RNA
Rfam family: Bacterial small subunit ribosomal RNA
Source: RNAcentral